CCGGGGACGUCUAGCGAAACUGCCGGUGUAAACCGCGAGGAAGGUGGGGAUGACGUCAAAUCAGCACGGCCCUUAUGUCCAGGGCUACACACGUGUUACAAUGGCCGGUACAGAGGGCAGCUACCUGGAGACAGGAUGCGAAUCUCGAAAGCCGGUCUCAGUUCGGAUCGGAGUCUGCAACUCGACUCCGUGAAGCUGGAUUCGCUAGUAAUCGCGCAUCAGCCAUGGCCGCGGUGAAUACGUUCCCGGGCCUU
Molecule: ribosomal RNA, 254 nt
Filed under: uncultured Sphingobacteriales bacterium
Lineage: Bacteria; Pseudomonadati; Bacteroidota; Sphingobacteriia; Sphingobacteriales
Description: partial 16S ribosomal RNA
Rfam family: Bacterial small subunit ribosomal RNA
Source: RNAcentral